Molecule: ribosomal RNA, 250 nt
Filed under: uncultured bacterium
Lineage: Bacteria
Description: partial 16S ribosomal RNA
Rfam family: Bacterial small subunit ribosomal RNA
Source: RNAcentral
UACAGAGGGUGCGAGCGUUAAUCGGAUUUACUGGGCGUAAAGGGCGCGUAGGCGGUGAAAUGGGUGUGAUGUGAAAGCCCUGGGCUUAACCUAGGAAGUGCAUCGCAAACUAUUUGACUGGAGUAUAUGAGAGGGUGGCGGAAUUUCCGGUGUAGCGGUGAAAUGCGUAGAGAUCGGAAGGAACGUCAAUGGCGAAGGCAGCCACCUGGCAUAAUACUGACGCUGAGGCGCGAAAGCGUGGGGAGCAAAC